CCUACGGGAGGCAGCAGUGGGGAAUAUUGGACAAUGGGCGAAAGCCUGAUCCAGCAAUGCCGCGUGAGUGAAGAAGGCCUUCGGGUUGUAAAGCUCUUUUACCCGGGAAGAUAAUGACUGUACCGGGAGAAUAAGCUCCGGCUAACUCCGUGCCAGCAGCCGCGGUAAUACGGAGGGAGCUAGCGUUGUUCGGAAUUACUGGGCGUAAAGCGUACGUAGGCGGCUUGGUAAGUCAGAGGUGAAAGCCCACGACUCAAUCGUGGAACUGCCUUUGAGACUGCUUCGCUUGAAGAUGGGAGAGGUUAGUGGAAUUCCGAGUGUAGAGGUGAAAUUCGUAGAUAUUCGGAAGAACACCAGUGGCGAAGGCGGCUAACUGGACCAUUCUUGACGCUGAGGUACGAAAGCGUGGGAGCAAACAGGAUUAGAUACCCUGGUAGUCCACGCCGUAAACGAUGAUAACUAGCUGUCGGGGCUCUUGGAGCUUCGGUGGCGCNGCUACGCAUAGUUAUCGUCCGUGGGUAGGUACGGCCGCGAACGGUUAAACGUUAAACGGUAAGUUAGUACGGCGUGAGUAACGUGUCCGACGGACGACGACGAGGGAGGUUAGG
This 608-nucleotide ribosomal RNA is filed under the name uncultured bacterium. RNAcentral describes it as "bacterial SSU rRNA". The stretch from base 1 to 514 matches the Rfam family "Bacterial small subunit ribosomal RNA", at positions 338 to 873 of the family's 1533-position model. The record is from RNAcentral.